GUAGAUUAGACUGUGGGGUGAUGGUCCGGCUGGUAGAUUAGACUGUGGGGUGAUGGUCCGGCUGGUAGAUUAGUGCCCCUAGUUCCAUGUAUCAACACAUUAUUUCAGUUGUAUUAAAACCAGGAACAUGUGGAAAGUCCCCUACUGAGUACAGACCCAUAAGUUUAAUACACUGUGACAAAAUAGUAACAAAGCUCAUGAGCAAUAGAAUGACAACAGUCUUACCUGAUACAUAUCAAUCAAACAGGGUUUAUUCAAAUUAGACACAAACUAAUACAUGUUUCAGUUUAAAACAAUACGCAAAAAGAUAUGGAUUUAUCAAUAAUGGCUGUUGGUCAAAGGCUGAAUGACCAUUUCUAUUCAAAACAUCAGAAGCGUUGAACUUUCCGGCAAAAAUAAUACAUUUGAUAAAAAUAUGAUAUAAAUGAUAUAUAUUUUUCAAGAUCUUCAUGAAUAAGAAAAAGAUUACAUGGACAGGGGGGACCUGAUCCUAGAUCAGCACUCAUUUUAUGAGGCCCAGUCAAUAACUCUCACAAUCAGACUAUCACGUUUCAGGUAAGACCCAAAUGCAGACUGUUGAAGUAACAAUGUGUAUUAAAGCAGCAAGGGGAAGGAAAACGACAGGUCAAGGCAGGCAGGGGUCGAUAAUCAAGAGUAGGGGCCAAGGUACAGGACUGCAGUCAGGGGUCGAUAAUCAAGAGUAGAGGCCAAGGUACAGGACUGCAGGCAGGGUCAGGACAGGCAAAGGUCAAAACCAGGAGAGCGAGAAAUAGAGACUGGGGAAAAGCAGUAGCUGAUACAAAACGCUGGUUGACUUGACAAACUGGCAACCGACAGAGAACAAGUACCCAGGGGAGAAUGGGGAGAGGUACCCAGGGGAGAAUGGGCGACACCUGGAGGAGGGUUCGAGACAAGCACAAGGACAGGUGAAACAGAUCAGGGCGUGACACAGACAAGAUAACUUUAUAUAGUAAAUAAAUAGUAAGGUAAGUGUUCUGGGUUGUCGUGGUGAUAACAUGGUGUAAAGGUAGAAACCUCUCCAGCUGUAGAGGGCUUGAACUGUCCCUAGCUACCCUCUAGGCUGUAGGGGGCUUGAACUGUCCCUAGCUACCCUCUAGGCUGUAGGGGGCUUGAACUGUUCCUAGCUACCCUCUAGGCUGUAGGGGGCUUGAACUGGGCCAACUGUCCCUAGCUACCCUCUAGGCUGUAGAGGGCUUAAACUGUCCCUAGCUACCCUCUAGGCUGUAGAGGGCUUGAACUGUCCCUAGCUACCCUCUAGGCUCUAGAGGGCUUGAACUAGGCCAACUGUCCCUAGCUACCCUCUGGGCUGUAGAGGGCUUGAACUAGGCCAACUGUCCCUAGCUACCCUCUGGGCUGUAGAGGGCUUGAACUGUCCCAAGCUACCCUCUAGGCUGUAGAGGGCUUGAACUGUCCCUAGCUACUCUCUAGGCUGUAGGGGGCUUGAACUGGGCCAAC
Long non-coding RNA from Oncorhynchus tshawytscha (Chinook salmon), 1476 nucleotides. Lineage: Eukaryota; Metazoa; Chordata; Actinopteri; Salmoniformes; Salmonidae. The record is from Ensembl.